GUGGGGAAUCUUAGACAAUGGGGGAAACCCUGAUCUAGCCAUGCCGCGUGAGCGAUGAAGGCCUUAGGGUUGUAAAGCUCUUUCAGCUGGGAAGAUAAUGACGGUACCAGCAGAAGAAGCCCCGGCUAACUCCGUGCCAGCAGCCGCGGUAAUACGGAGGGGGCUAGCGUUGUUCGGAAUUACUGGGCGUAAAGCGCGCGUAGGCGGACCAGAAAGUUGGAGGUGAAAUCCCAGGGCUCAACCUUGGAACUGCCUUCAAAACUCCUGGUCUGGAGUUCGAGGGAGGUGGGUGGAAUUCCGAGUGUAGAGGUGAAAUUCGUAGAUAUUCGGAGGAACACCAGUGGCGAAGGCGGCUCACUGGCUCGAUACUGACGCUGUGGUGCGAAAGCGUGGGGAGCAAACAGGAUUAGAAACCCGGGUAGUCC
RNAcentral lists this ribosomal RNA (425 nucleotides) under uncultured bacterium. Its description in RNAcentral is "partial 16S ribosomal RNA". It matches the Rfam family "Bacterial small subunit ribosomal RNA", at positions 354 to 796 of the family's 1533-position model. The record is from RNAcentral.